GCGCCCUGCCACGUGAUCGUCUUCUCACCCUUCACGCAGGCAGGCGGCACAAGGAAGCCCCCGCGAGGACAUGCUCGCGGGGGCUUCCG
This 89-nucleotide non-coding RNA is filed under the name Streptomyces sp. F-3. Its description in RNAcentral is "sodF sRNA". It matches the Rfam family "sodF sRNA". Rfam says of the family: Identified in Streptomyces coelicolor. It is produced from sodF mRNA by cleavage of about 90 nucleotides from its 3'UTR. The record is from Rfam by way of RNAcentral. Lineage: Bacteria; Bacillati; Actinomycetota; Actinomycetes; Kitasatosporales; Streptomycetaceae.